UGGUGUACCAGUUGUCGUGCCAACGGCAUAGCUGGGUAGCUAUGUGUGGACGGGAUAAGUGCUGAAAGCAUCUAAGCAUGAAGCCCCCCUCAAGAUGAGAUUUCCCAACUUCGGUUAUAAGAUCCCUCAAAGAUGAUGAGGUUAAUAGGUUCGAGGUGGAAGCAUGGUGACAUGUGGAGCUGACGAAUACUAAUCGAUCGAAGACUUAAUCAAAA
RNAcentral lists this ribosomal RNA (215 nucleotides) under Staphylococcus aureus. Its description in RNAcentral is "partial 23S ribosomal RNA". It matches the Rfam family "Bacterial large subunit ribosomal RNA", at positions 2710 to 2925 of the family's 2925-position model. The record is from RNAcentral. Lineage: Bacteria; Bacillati; Bacillota; Bacilli; Caryophanales; Staphylococcaceae.